Molecule: ribosomal RNA, 270 nt
Filed under: uncultured bacterium
Lineage: Bacteria
Description: partial 16S ribosomal RNA
Rfam family: Bacterial small subunit ribosomal RNA
Source: RNAcentral
GAUGAACGCUAGCGGCAGGCCUAAUACAUGCAAGUCGGACGGGAUUUGGGAGCUUGCUCCCAAUGAGAGUGGCGCACGGGUGCGUAACACGUAUGUAACCUACCUUUAUCAGGGGGAUAGCCUCUCGAAAGAGAGAUUAACACCGCAUAAAAUCACAAUGCAGCAUUGCAAAAUGAUCAAAUAUUUAUAGGAUAAAGAUGGGCAUGCGGAACAUUAGCUAGAUGGUGAGGUAACGGCUCACCAUGGCCACGAUGUUUAGGGGAUCUGAGA